CCAGGCUGAAACAGUCUUGAUGUCAAAGAUAUUAAGGCGUAAGGCAAAUACAAACUUAGUAAACCAGCACAGAGCCUUCCUAGCGCAUACACUGUUCAUAAGGGACAGCUGGCUUUUGUCCUGGUAGUGCCAGCCCCUCAUCCAAGGGGGAUUCCUGUUUAAGCCAGAGCCCAGGAUGGCGGUGGCUGUUUUCUCUCAACCUACAGGAGCGUUCCAGCGCUCACAGUGGAGGUAAAAUGAAGAAAUGAGUGUAACCUUCCAUUGCCCCUUGAAAACUACAAGAAGCCAAGACAGCAACAGGAGAACAGAAUACUCCUACACGUUCUGCAUUUCCCACCUUAUAUUAAGAGGCUUCAAACUCGCAGGCUUGAAUCAUCUAUAAGCUUUUGGAAAACAGGAUAAGCAACUGACUGGCAAAUUACUGGUCAUGAGAUUGAACAGUUUCACAUGACUUAUAAAUCACAAGCUACCAGUUCAAACAGAUUGUCUGGUUACUGGGUCUGUAACUUGCACUUCGCUGUGAAUGACCAACAAGAACAAAGAGAUGCCCAUGCCAGAAUAGGAUUGACGAUGAGUUGUAUCAAGGGUUGCAUUCUGGCAGCAAUCCUAGAAAAGGAUGAUUUGCAGCAAUCUCGAAUGAUUUACAUAACCUCAACACAAAAAAGUUCAUUUAAGUACUGCAUGAUCAAGGAUAUGUCUGUAAACUUUCCACAGAAAUGUGCAGAAACACCACGGGGUAAAUGAUUAAUGGAAUAACAUCAGAAUGGAAGAAAAGCUGUAAAUGCAGGACUACAGCCAAAAGGCACAAAGAAACCAAAUUAAAGAAACCAAAUUAAAGAAAUUUAGGGCAAAACAAUUCCCUAAAACACAGUUAGUCUUCCAGUAAUUAUAUUUUCGGCUAUUAAAAGCUUUUAAAAAAAAAAUACGAAGUGCCCCUUCUUGAAACUAAGGAACGCCUGCAAAAAUUAAACCAGAAAACUAAACUUUAUGGAGACAAACACAGCUUUGUCCCCUCCAGUGCUUUUGAACACGAGUCCACCAGAACAGCGGUGGAUGGAAUGUGCCUGUUCUCCACCCCUCACCCCAAAUACAGCACGGGCAGUAACAUAAAAGAAGGAAUCCUGAAGGUUGAUUUUAUUCUCUUUGGAGCUCCCUGACAUCACUGGUUUUAACAUUCGGUUUCCAUAAAUCCAGAAGUGACACGGAAGAUGUAUGGUUUGACUCUGCGAGGAAUGUGCCAUCCUUUUUGAAGUUCUGCUUCCAACUUUGUUUACUACUGAACCAUUGAAAUAUUAUGAAGCGUUAACUGGCCUAUUAUCAGAGCGCGUCUGUUCCCUAUCAGGGGUCCCUUUUGUCACUGGCUUCCGUCACACCUUGUAUCUGAUUAACACACUAUAGGAUAACAUAGAGCUACACAGAUCUGCUUUGUGUUCUCUCACAGCUGAUGAAAAACAGAUUUUCCUUUUCACUUUAAUGUGGUUGCCCUUUAAUUGGGUCUGUAAUAGGGUUCAUUUGAUGCGAUUCCUCAUACUAAACUAAAACUGCUAUACAGUAAGUUGAAUGUUCGUUACAUUUAAGGCAAUAGUCGGUAAAGUGAUAUGUUACAUUCUUCAUUAUUUAAACAUUCCUAAAACAUACAGUUUACAAGAAAGGUUAAAUUCACCGUUCUUUCAGUUAAGGAAAGAUUUAUCUUGUCUAGCUAGCCAAAAUUUAGGCAUGUGAUUUAAACUGUGCACCUCUCUAAACCAAGGACAGAAACAGAUGGCACGGAUCACCUUCUGCGGGUGUCUAUGACACCUACCUUAGGCUGAGUAGUACCAGAGGGCAAUUCACUGACAGGUCAAAAAAAAAAAUCUUUCUACAACUUCUGCUGGCACAACUCACGGUUACUUCUCUGCAAGCAGGCUCAUCGCUAAAUGUAUGCUGACAGCAAGCUAGUAAAAACCUAUGAAAUGAAAUUAAUGGCAAGGUAGCAAGAAGAAGAAACAUUUAUGCCCCCUAAAUUUAGGUGUCUACAUUGAAAACACACUGUCCACAGGGUUCCUAUACUGUCAAUAACUGAAGAGUUAAACUCUUUUUGCCUUGAAGAAAUUAAAGGUAUCUCACUGGCCAACUGCGAUGGAAGUAACAGAGACCACUUGUUUCGCUCACCUUCCUAGUUUUUCAACCCCAAAAAGAAAGCAUCAACGCUAGAGGGAAAUCUGUAUGGGUAGGCUUAUGUGAAGCAAAAGAAUCAGAACCCACAUGCCCUAACACUCCCUGCAGCGUGGUUAUUUUUCUAGCCCACGUAGAGUCUUUCUGCGGGAUACUCUUUGCCACAAAAAGCUACCAGCACCAAAGCGGACUGAUUUCCAAUUUCAUAACGCAGAAGUUGAAGAGUGAAAAUACAAGUCAACAGUAUGGCCAGCAGUCCCACAGCCUAGUUGCUCUACUGCCCACCUCUCCGCAUUCAGGAUUGUUAUUAGCUAACAGAAGUACACGACAGCACGGAAAUAGGGAGCCUUGACAAACGAAGGUAGAAACUCUGUUCCUGGAGGGAGUACAGCGCUCUUCAUGGAAGGAGGACACCAGGCUGGAGUCAAAGGUUAUCUGGUUUCAGAGUAUGGUGCCUAUUCAAAUAAAGCCCACACCAAAUCCC
This is a long non-coding RNA of Numida meleagris (helmeted guineafowl), 2638 nucleotides long. RefSeq lists it as uncharacterized. Lineage: Eukaryota; Metazoa; Chordata; Aves; Galliformes; Numididae. The record is from RefSeq and is a predicted model, not a curated record. The transcript has 4 exons.